CAGAAGUUGAGGUAAUGAAUAUGUUCAUACAUGAAAGGAAUAACUUCCUUCUAGAGAAAACUGAUUGACUGAGAUAUUAUGUUAUAAUGUUAUGCACUUACCUUUACAGGGCAGCCUUAGACCACAUUGCGGAAACAAACAAAAAAGGCAGAGCAGUUUUCCGGUUCUUUUGAGAAAUUAUUUUUAUUGACGAUCUGUCUGCGCAGUUGUCUGCCCACCACUGGGACUCAUGGGUGCAUGAGUCCAGCUGCAUAGAUCAGACUGCAGGAUCAGGGCCUUUGUCUGAGAGAAGUACAGUUAAUCUUCCCUCAAAAUGGGGACUUGUUUACCACAAAGACUCUAGCUCAAACCAGUCAGAACCGGUUUUUCCCGCUAAGUCCAACCCUCAGUGUUCCAUCACUUCAGAAGCGUUCCAUCACCUCAGAGCUCUUCCCGCCAAAAAGGCUUUAUAAGGACUUGUUCAGCGCCUGCGCGGGGCUGUCCAUUCCAGCGACAGCUCGUACACGGUCGGGUCUUCUCAGAGCUCCAGAGCUGAGAUCGAAGAACAACAUCUAUCCCGCAGCGUGUUUGAGGAAGAGGAAUCCUGUCAUCGUCAUUCCUGUAUCCUGCAUUUCCUGGUGUCCAUCAUCCCAGAGGGUCUCCUUGCCAGCGACGAGAACCAUCAGUCGUCUGGACUCCCCAGUGUUCCUCCUCAAGGACUCUAAAUCAGUCCAAGAGUUGUAGGUCCUGGGCAACACACCUGUAUGUGACAUCUGCUGCAUCAGAGCAACAGGAGAAAGGUUUCUGUGUUGGGGUAUUGUUUAUUGUUUUGUAGAAUCCCACGGGAGGGUUUAUGGGCCUGAGCUCCAAGCUCUUAGGCCUGGUCUACACUACGAGUUUAGGUCGACUUUAGCAGCAUUAAAUCGAAUUAAGCCUGGACAUGUCCACACGACGAAGCCCUUUCUUUUGACUUAAAUGGCCCUUUAAACCGGUUUCUUUACUCCACCUCCGACGAGGGGAUUAGCGCUAAAAUCGGCCUUUGCGGGUCGGAUUUGGGGUAGUGUGGACGGAAUUCGACAUUAUUGGCCUCCGGG
This 1073-nucleotide long non-coding RNA is filed under the name Terrapene triunguis (Three-toed box turtle). RNAcentral's name for it is "Terrapene carolina triunguis (Three-toed box turtle) lncRNA (ENSTMTG00000005104.1)". Lineage: Eukaryota; Metazoa; Chordata; Testudines; Emydidae. The record is from RNAcentral.